CGAAAGCCUGACGGAGCAACGCCGCGUGUGGGAAGAAGGCCUUUGGGCUGUCAACCACUUUUCUCAGGGAAGAAGUUCUGACGGUACCUGAGGAAUCAGCCUCGGCUAACUCCGUGCCAGCAGCCGCGGUAAUACGGAGGAGGCAAGCGUUAUUCGGAAUUAUUGGGCGUAAAGCGUUCGUAGGCGGCUGUUCAAGUCUGCUGUCAAAGACCGAGGCUCAACCUCGGGUCGGCAGUGGAAACUGGAUAGCUAGAGGUCGGUAGGGGCAAAGGGAAUUCCCAGUGUAGCGGUGAAAUGCGUAGAUAUUGGGAAGAACACCGGUGGCGAAAGCGCUCUACUGGGUCGCACCUGACCCUCAGGGACGAAAGCUAAGGUAGCG
RNAcentral lists this ribosomal RNA (379 nucleotides) under uncultured cyanobacterium. RNAcentral's name for it is "bacterial SSU rRNA". It matches the Rfam family "Bacterial small subunit ribosomal RNA", at positions 376 to 770 of the family's 1533-position model. The record is from RNAcentral. Lineage: Bacteria; Bacillati; Cyanobacteriota.